ACUCCGGUUGAUCCUGCCGGCGGCCACCGCUAUAGGAUUUCGAUUAAGACAUGCGAGUCGAGAGUCGUUAUGGACUCGGCGGACUGCUCAGUAACACGUGGAGAACGUGCCCUUAAGUGGGGGAUAAUCUCGGGAAAUUGAGGAUAAUACCCCAUAGAUCAUGGCAUCUGGAAUGAGUCAUGGUUGAAAGUUCCGGCGCUUAAGGAUCGCUCUGCGGCCUAUCAGGUAGUAGUGGGUGUAAGGUACCCCCUAGCCGACGACGGGUAUGGG
Molecule: ribosomal RNA, 270 nt
Filed under: Candidatus Methanomethylophilaceae archaeon
Lineage: Archaea; Methanobacteriati; Thermoplasmatota; Thermoplasmata; Methanomassiliicoccales; Methanomethylophilaceae
Description: partial 16S ribosomal RNA
Rfam family: Archaeal small subunit ribosomal RNA
Source: RNAcentral